RNAcentral lists this ribosomal RNA (1029 nucleotides) under Pediococcus acidilactici. Its description in RNAcentral is "bacterial SSU rRNA". It matches the Rfam family "Bacterial small subunit ribosomal RNA", at positions 54 to 1033 of the family's 1533-position model. Lineage: Bacteria; Bacillati; Bacillota; Bacilli; Lactobacillales; Lactobacillaceae. The record is from RNAcentral.
CAUGCAGUCGAACGAAGCGUUCCGUGUAAUUGAUCAUGGACGGUGCUUGCACUGAAUGAGAUUUUAACACGAAGUGAGUGGCGGACGGGUGAGUAACACGUGGGUAACCUGCCCAGAAGCAGGGGAUAACACCUGGAAACAGAUGCUAAUACCGUAUAACAGAGAAAACCGCCUGGUUUUCUUUUAAAAGAUGGCUCUGCUAUCACUUCUGGAUGGACCCGCGGCGCAUUAGCUAGUUGGUGAGGUAACGGCUCACCAAGGCGAUGAUGCGUAGCCGACCUGAGAGGGUAAUCGGCCACAUUGGGACUGAGACACGGCCCAGACUCCUACGGGAGGCAGCAGUAGGGAAUCUUCCACAAUGGACGCAAGUCUGAUGGAGCAACGCCGCGUGAGUGAAGAAGGGUUUCGGCUCGUAAAGCUCUGUUGUUAAAGAAGAACGUGGGUGAGAGUAACUGUUCACCCAGUGACGGUAUUUAACCAGAAAGCCACGGCUAACUACGUGCCAGCAGCCGCGGUAAUACGUAGGUGGCAAGCGUUAUCCGGAUUUAUUGGGCGUAAAGCGAGCGCAGGCGGUCUUUUAAGUCUAAUGUGAAAGCCUUCGGCUCAACCGAAGAAGUGCAUUGGAAACUGGGAGACUUGAGUGCAGAAGAGGACAGUGGAACUCCAUGUGUAGCGGUGAAAUGCGUAGAUAUAUGGAAGAACACCAGUGGCGAAGGCGGCUGUCUGGUCUGUAACUGACGCUGAGGCUCGAAAGCAUGGGUAGCGAACAGGAUUAGAUACCCUGGUAGUCCAUGCCGUAAACGAUGAUUACUAAGUGUUGGAGGGUUUCCGCCCUUCAGUGCUGCAGCUAACGCAUUAAGUAAUCCGCCUGGGGAGUACGACCGCAAGGUUGAAACUCAAAAGAAUUGACGGGGGCCCGCACAAGCGGUGGAGCAUGUGGUUUAAUUCGAAGCUACGCGAAGAACCUUACCAGGUCUUGACAUCUUCUGCCAACCUAGAAGAUUAGGCGUUCCCUUCGGGGACAGAAAG